CGUAGAGUUGGCAACGCUGUGUGGGUCACCUCACUUCACCCGCCGGUGGACGUAUUUUUAUCAUCGUGUUAUUUUUCAUUAUGACAAAGUGAUUUUUCAAAUUAUUGACCUUACAUACUGCAAUUUAUUAUGAUAUAGCUAAAUCGCCUAAAAUUAUUUGACGUGUUUAAUGAAGCAGAAAUGGUGGCUGCGAUUGAUACUUCUAGAAAAAAUAUUUUAUGUGGUUGCAUAAACUCAUAAAGAGCGGGUGAAAAUUUUCCUGCAACACCGCGUGUUGAUAAGGAGAGUGCAAUCAAAAUUAAAUUAGCUAAUCAAAAGACUUCAAUCAGAAAUGAUACACAUUCGCAUUAGAUCCUUUUUCAUGAGCGAAUGUAUUCAACUUGGAUCCUACUUAUGAAGGUUUGCCAUGUGCCAACAGCAAAACAGAUUGCGCAUUACUCAUAAUAUCGCAAUAUAGACCCAAAGUGUUCAAGAAGAUGGUUGACAUUAUCGGGGGCGGAAGUUAAGGAGUACCUACUAGCCGUUACAGACUACGGUGAACGAGUGAGCAGCACCCUCCGCAGCCCACAACGAUCACGUGCUAAACGCGCUAAG
Amyelois transitella is the source of this 594-nucleotide long non-coding RNA. RefSeq lists it as uncharacterized. Lineage: Eukaryota; Metazoa; Arthropoda; Insecta; Lepidoptera; Pyralidae. The record is from RefSeq and is a predicted model, not a curated record. The transcript has 3 exons.